Long non-coding RNA from Sphaeramia orbicularis (orbiculate cardinalfish), 3244 nucleotides. RefSeq lists it as uncharacterized. The transcript is spliced from 2 exons. The record is from RefSeq and is a predicted model, not a curated record. Lineage: Eukaryota; Metazoa; Chordata; Actinopteri; Kurtiformes; Apogonidae.
UCACACACACUCCUGUCUGCACAGCCGAAGGACAGGCAGACUGACAAGAAAGACAAAGAGUUGGAGACACCGAGAGACAACGAAAGAGAGAAGAUGGGAAAUGUGAAGUUCAACUGUAACAGAGACACUGGACAGCUUGAGGAAAGUGAAAACAAGCCAGAGCAAAGGAGUAAAAAAAAAAAAAAAAAAAGCCAGUUUCUUUCAGAGAGGCACUUCACACUCAGUUCAUAGCGAAUCCUGCAACCUGUUGAUCAGGACAGAUGUUCACAAGGAGCGACAGUAAUGUGCGCCUGCUGUACAAAUGUACUGUAAUGUUGGCAUUGGAAUUUUGCCCUGAUCUGAGACUGAGGUCUGCCACUGUGGAGCAGCUCCAUUACAAAGGUCAGACGUAAAUAGUUCCUUUGAAUGGGAAGGCUUAAUUUCUGUCUGCCUGCCUGUCUGUCUGUCUGUUUGAUUUAGGGAUUAUAUGUCCACUUGUCUGAAUAACUUACAGCGUAAUUGGGCAGUGUGUACCUGUGUGUGUGCAACUGUGUGCACGCUGUAUGUAUGUCAUCUGUCGACCCAUGUGUGUCAUCUGUCUGUCUUCAUGUGCAUCCGUCUGCGUGCUUGUCUGUGGGGUGUUACUGGCAGCACAGAGCGAGAAUAAAGGUCAUAAAAAGUUCUCGAAAAGCAGUCGAAAGACGUAAUGGUAGUGCUGAAGCGAGGCCGGAGCCACUCAAACAUUCCUCUCAUUGUUCAGAGGCCCUGUAAGUCUGUGAGCUCCCAAACCUCCAUGAAAGGAAGGGAAUCCAGCAGCUACUGUAGCUAACCCAGUUUCAGCUGCAGUUCAGAGCUGGUUGGCUGUGUCUUCCUACUCACCGUCCUGUCUGGUUCCCCUCUGGGAGUGUUGAUAUAGACAAAAUUUCACAGUGAAAGACCAUAAUGGAUCUAAAGGAGGUUUUGAGACUGAAAUACAGAAGAAAGAAGACAAUAAUGAGUUAACAUAGCCCAAAGGGGAGGUAUCAUCUACUUUUCUUUCUAUGACUUUGACUUUAGAUAACCUCUAAGCCAGAGGACAUGGGAAAGAAGAGAGGGAGGUGGAAAGUAUCAUUUUUCUGCCUUUCAAAGCACAGAAUCAUUAGUUAGGCAAAUCUACCGCAGAAGGCCAAAUGGAUGGAGAGAAGGAUGAUCGAAAGAGAGAAGAGAGGCAGCGGCAGGAGGAACAGAGAAGUGGGGUUGCAGAACUCAAACCUUGGCUUUGGUGGGGUGGCUGGGUGGGUGGGUGUGCCCGGCAGCAAUCCACAGAAAUGGGCCCAGGCUCAGGAAACCGUGGCGUAGUGGAAUAAAAGUGUGUGUAUGUGGGUUUGUGCACUUUCUACAUCCAUUUGUGCAUGUGUGGUGCAGUGGCAGCAGGGCGGCUGUAGACUAAGUACAGGGCUGGUGGUGGUAAGGGUGUUUGGCAAUGAAUCAGACUUAGGAUAGGGUUACAUGCAUUGGGCUGCAGGGAGCGUACCACGGGCUUGGGCUGGGCUCUUCACUGCUGAGGCUAGCUUUACAGCCCCAACAGACUUUGAGCUUUUCUCUCUCUUUUUUUCUUAAUCAGAAGCUGGAAAUACUUUUUUAUUCUCAGUCCCACAUGUGGUGUGUUUCACUGAUUCCAGGCCAGCCGAUGAACGUUUUCCUUAGAUCAGGGAAAACUGCAACAGAGAGGGCCCAAAGUAGACUGCAAGUCCUUGUUUGAAUGUCAUUGAAUGUCACGGCCUCAGCGAUAAUUACACUCUUGCACGCAACGUGAAACAAAUACAGUUUUUACUCAUAGGCAGACACAUAGUGUCUGGCAGCCAAGGAGCCAGGGUGUGGUGCUGUGUAAGGUGUAUGAGGUCAACGAUCUAGUUUUAAAUCAUCAGGAUGUAUAUGUAUUUAUGUUUUUUACUGUCUAACUGAUUAUCUUGCCAAGGAUUGGAAACUGAAAGGGUAGAAUUAUCAUCCAUCUAAGAGCUUUUAGUGGCCCAGGCUAUCCGCUAUCAGUGUUUAUGAUGAGAUUAAGAGGCUGAAAAUUUUGUGGCGAAAAUGCCGCCAAUUUGUGCUUCACUAUGUGCUUUCCUUUUCACAUUCACCUCCUCACAUUUUUUAGAUUUAGCUAAACGCCUAAGUGAUAUGAAGUCACUUUUACUGUUUUUUCAUGGUCUUCGCUUAUCAGGGCGAGUGUGCUUAAUAGGUGUAAUGGAUACGACAGCUAUUAUGAAAAGCAAACGUGGCAUAUUUGCACUUUAAGAAGGGAAUUCAGACAUUAUUGUAACCUUUGUGCACUAUUGUUGACAUAAUGUCUUGGACCAUUAGAUGUAGACAUAUUGAUUUCACAUGAAGCUGAGAAACAAAUUGCCCUGUGUAAAAUUCUCUGUUGCAAAGGAAAAAUACAAAAACACCGCAGCCUUUAUACACUGUUAUUAAUGGAGUGCAAAAGAGCAGAGUACAGUCAGCCUAUGGGUUGUCCUGCUCACUGUUUGCACUGUGAAGCAGUUCACAGCCUGGAGGUGCGAAUGAUGUCACACUGGUAUGUAUUUGUACUAUUCCUGGUUUAUGAGACAGAGUGAGAGUCCAACUAACGCACAUGCCAUGUUUGCCCAGCAGCCCACUAACAUAACUGCGUUUGUUUAUUGAUAGUGAGCAUAUUGUGUGCAGAGUGGCAGAUUGCAUACGGCCUGCGUGAAAGUGUGUGUGCUUCUUGUUGCGUUUGUGUGUGCGUGGAUACACAAGGGCAUACAGAGAGAGAAGAUAUGUGUUGAAAAAACAAGGGGUUGAGAUCCAGCUGUCUCAACAGAGGCUUUUCCACUUAACCAUGUGCCCUUGUGUAAACGGCAAUGUCAGUUCUGAACCGGCUGAAGAGGGGAGACGGUCUGAAAAAACAGCUAGUGGCCACGUCUACAUUUGGAUCUCCAUACGUUGUUCUCUAGAUUAUAAACACAGUCCCACGUAUAUGAACAGUGGAGUAAACUGUAGAGUCUAAAAGCAUCUAAAACCAUCCAAAGAGUUGGAAGGCACACUGGUUUAAAAGGGCCCACACACAAAGUAACGUCUGAAAACAUUUAGACUUCACCAGAUCGCAUCCACUGAAGAUGUGACGAAUUCCACUACUCUAAUAUUAGCCGACGAUAAGUUGCAACCCACACAGCAGAGCUUUACGAUUAUUUCUAACCUUUAAAAAACACAGUUUCACCUAUAAAAACACUUCCACAGGGCUAAAAAAAAAAAAAAAAAGCAAAAA